Carcharodon carcharias (great white shark) is the source of this 105-nucleotide small nuclear RNA. The record is from RefSeq and is a predicted model, not a curated record. Lineage: Eukaryota; Metazoa; Chordata; Chondrichthyes; Lamniformes; Lamnidae.
GUGCUCACUUCAGCAACGCAUAUACUAAAAUGGGAACUAUAUAGAGAAGCUUAGCAUGGCCCUUGUGCAAGGGUGACACGUAAAUUCAUGGGGCAGAAUGUUCUG